CAUGGAAUGUCAGGGUAACCCAUUUCUCUUACCUCUGCCAUAUUUGAAGCAGGUAUUGAAGAGAAGAAAGAGGAGAACUUGUCCAUAGCCCUCCUGUCUGUGGCAAUGCUCCUACCCAGGAGCUGGAGCAUGGAGGGCACUGGGCACAGGAGAGACAAGCCAGGAGAAUACAGCAAGAAGGCCACCAUGUGCAAACCAGGAAGAAAGCCUUCUCUAACAGCCUGGCCACUCAGCACCCUGAUCUUGAACUUCCAGCCUCCCAAACCGUCUUCCAGUGUGGCAUGGCUAUGACGCUUGUAGCUUACUCAAUGUCCCUAAAUAUCCCCCAAAAUAUGGGAACCUGAGAGUGUUCUUCGUAGAAUUCAUGAAUCUCCCCUGGAAUUUUAUUCCACAGAUUCAGUUUUGAGACUUUUUAUCCUUUUGAUUUGAUUGCUCCUGGAGCCCUACCCUGAGCUCUGAGUGAAUGUAUUUAUCUUAGUUUGUCUAGAAAGGCACUCUGGAAUCUGCAGUGGGAACUUGAUGAUAGAUGGAUCAUUGAAACUGGCUUUUAAAAGUGACAUUUUGGUUAAAAGUCAUCUCAAAAAAGAAAAACAGCUUUUAGAAAGUGUAUAUUCAAUAAAAUUCCAGAAGCCGGCCCUGGUGGGCUGUCCCUGAAUCUGGCUCUGGCAGUGGGUUUGAAAUUCUCCAGCCUAGUUGAGAGCACAGUGUCUUCCCAGAGCACAGAGGCCAGGCUCUGCUCAGGAAUCCCACCCCCAAGACAGAGGAAAGCACUCCCAAGGCCACGCGCAAGGUUUGCAUCUGAAUUAUAGACCGUUCUUGUGAAGACUCUCUCUGCCGACCCAUAAUCUUUCCUCCUGAGAUGCGAAAAAAGGCUCCACACGGCAUCACAAGGAUAAACGCACCACAGAUACAUCAGUUGAUUAAUUUCAAUAAACUUAAGCCUGAAAAGAAGUAGUCGUACUACAGAAGAGAGCUGUUUUUCAGAGUAAAGGCCCUUAAGAACGUGGUGUUACCCUGGUAGCACAGAUCUGGAUAGGUGAAACAUUCGCAAAACUUCCUUUGAAAAUAUACAUAUUUAGUUUCAAUAAUGCAUAUUAAAACAUUAUUAUAUUAAACAUUGUGGAAUUACCUCAAAUGUAAUUAAUAGACGUUUACGGAUUUGGAAUGAGCAAGUCAUCUGGUAAAAUAUCUCCUUGAUAUAGACUCCUGGAGAGACCUAGAUGCGUGAGAAGCUAUGCCCAGAUGUCUGUAAAUCAGAAUAUAUGUAUAAUCCAUUAAGCAGAUGGGGGAGGGAGAUCACAACUUACAGACAGGAACCAAAAAAAUGAUAGAAUAGAAUUGAUGAAAGGAGAGAAUUUAAAGAGAUGACAAAGAAGGUGAAAUGCAGACAGAAAGGAGAGGAAUAAAAAUAAAGAGAAUAAAAAUCAAAGGAUAAAGUAAGUUUUCAUUAGACUGUGCGCGUCUGAAUAGCAUCCACUUGUUCCUACUGCUUUGAGAAGUUAAUUAUCUGACUAAACACUGCUCGCAGAUCCUGAAAGGCUCUCUAUUCCUCUAACCUUUAAAGACUUUUAUGACUAGAAUAACCAGAGCAGCUCAUAGAAAGAAAAUUGUUUUCUGUGCUGUAACAUCAAUGGCCAGAAAUGUGUACACCUGGGGACC
RNAcentral lists this long non-coding RNA (1659 nucleotides) under Homo sapiens (human). RNAcentral's name for it is "HSALNT0300078". The record is from RNAcentral. Lineage: Eukaryota; Metazoa; Chordata; Mammalia; Primates; Hominidae.